CCUCCUUCCAUUCCCCAACAACUAACCCAUUUUUUUGCCCCUUUUUCAAAGAGUAUCCAUUUUGCCCAAAUUGCUGUUCUUUGAGUCUGAAAUUCGAUUCACUAUGGAAGAAGCAAAUGUUGUUGAAGCUAAGGAUGGAACUAUCUCAGUAGCCUCUGCAUUUGCUGGUCACCAAGAAGCUGUACGGGACAGAGACCACAAAUUCUUGACACAAGCAGUCGAAGAAGCUUACAAAGGUGUAGAAUGUGGAGAUGGAGGCCCAUUUGGUGCAGUUGUUGUUUGCAAUGAUGAAGUAGUUGUUAGCUGCCACAACAUGGUUUUGAAGCAUACUGACCCCACAGCUCAUGCAGAGGUUACGGCAGUAAGAGAGGCAUGUAAGAAGCUCAAUCGAAUUGAGCUUGCAGAUUGUGAGAUAUAUGCUUCUUGUGAGCCUUGUCCAAUGUGCUUUGGUGCUAUCCAUCUAUCACGCAUCAAGAGGUUGGUAUAUGGAGCCAAAGCUGAAGCUGCAAUUGCCAUUGGGUUUGACGAUUUCA
This 533-nucleotide unclassified non-coding RNA is filed under the name Hevea brasiliensis (rubber tree). The record is from RNAcentral. Lineage: Eukaryota; Viridiplantae; Streptophyta; Magnoliopsida; Malpighiales; Euphorbiaceae.